UUGUCCCUGCCGUGCGCGUGACUUGGCCAUACAUUCCUUGAACCAAUGUCUUUUGGCAUAGGUUGCUGGAUUGACAAGUAGGAGCGAUUGCCACUCCGUGUGGCGAACCCGAAGCUUGACUGAAGGCGACCACCUUGAACCUCAGGUUCCAGGAUGCCGGCCUAGACGGCAUACGCGGGGCAAUU
RNAcentral lists this non-coding RNA (185 nucleotides) under Allopusillimonas soli. RNAcentral's name for it is "Pusillimonas sp. MJ07 6S / SsrS RNA". It matches the Rfam family "6S / SsrS RNA". Rfam says of the family: E. coli 6S RNA was the first non coding RNA to be sequenced, but its function was unknown until recently. The record is from Rfam by way of RNAcentral. Lineage: Bacteria; Pseudomonadati; Pseudomonadota; Betaproteobacteria; Burkholderiales; Alcaligenaceae.